This 530-nucleotide ribosomal RNA is filed under the name uncultured bacterium. RNAcentral describes it as "bacterial SSU rRNA". It matches the Rfam family "Bacterial small subunit ribosomal RNA", at positions 353 to 896 of the family's 1533-position model. The record is from RNAcentral.
AGUGGGGAAUAUUGCGCAAUGGGGGGAACCCUGACGCAGCAACGCCGCGUGAGUGAAGAAGGCCUUCGGGUCGUAAAACUCUGUCUUUGGGGAAGAAAAAAAUGACGGUACCCUAGGAGGAAGCCCCGGCUAACUACGUGCCAGCAGCCGCGGUAAUACGUAGGGGGCGAGCGUUGUCCGGAAUUACUGGGCGUAAAGGGUGCGUAGGCGGCCAUUUAAGUCAGAUGUGAAAUACCAGGGCUCAACCUUGGGGGUGCAUUUGAAACUGGAUGGCUUGAGUGCAGGAGAGGAAAGUGGAAUUCCUAGUGUAGCGGUGAAAUGCGUAGAGAUUAGGAGGAACACCAGUGGCGAAGGCGGCUUUCUGGACUGUAACUGACGCUGAGGCACGAAAGCGUGGGGAGCGAACAGGAUUAGAUACCCUGGUAGUCCACGCCGUAAACGAUGGAUACUAGGUGUAGGGGGUAUCGACCCCCUCUGUGCCGGAGUUAACGCAAUAAGUAUCCCGCCUGGGGAGUACGGUCGCAAGACUG